GAGUUUGAUCCUGGCUCAGAACGAACGCUGGCGGCGUGCCUAACACAUGCAAGUCGAACGUGAUCCAGAGCUUGCUCUGGUGAAAGUGGCGCACGGGUGAGUAACGCGUGGAUAACCUACCCUGGUAUCCGGGAUAACAUUCCGAAAGGGGUGCUAAUACCGGAUAAGCCCACGGGCUCUUUGGAGCUUGCGGGAAAAGGUGGCCUCUAUUUAUAAGCUACUGUAUCAGGAUGGGUCCGCGUACCAUUAGCUAGUUGGCGGUGUAACGAACCACCAAGGCGACGAUGGUUUGCUGGUCUGAGAGGAUGAUCAGCCACACUGGAACUGAGACACGGUCCAGACUCCUACGGGAGGCAGCAGUGGGGAAUUUUGCGCAAUGGGGGAAACCCUGACGCAGCAACGCCGCGUGAGUGAUGAAGGCCUUUGGGUCGUAAAGCUCUGUCAGAGGGGAAGAAAUGGUAUAGUGCUAAUACCACUUUAUCUUGACGGUACCCUCAAAGGAAGCACCGGCUAACUCCGUGCCAGCAGCCGCGGUAAUAC
RNAcentral lists this ribosomal RNA (540 nucleotides) under uncultured Geobacteraceae bacterium. RNAcentral describes it as "bacterial SSU rRNA". It matches the Rfam family "Bacterial small subunit ribosomal RNA", at positions 9 to 526 of the family's 1533-position model. Lineage: Bacteria; Pseudomonadati; Thermodesulfobacteriota; Desulfuromonadia; Geobacterales; Geobacteraceae. The record is from RNAcentral.